AUGAAGAUCCUGAACUGGAACGUUCGUGGACUCGGCGAGGAUGAUAAGUGCUCGUUGGUCCGUGACACUAUAACUUCCUGCUGCCCUAGUGUUGUUUGUCUACAGGAAACAAAGCUGCCGUUCGUCUCCCCUCACAAGCUGCGAGCGUUUCUGCCAUCUCAUCUCAAGGACCAUGCCGUCAGCCCCUCCGAUGGCGCUGCCGGGGGGAUUUUGGUUGCAUGGGAUCCCACUGUGCUUCGGGGACAAGUGGUGGCUCUGCACAAAUUCCAUGUCACUCUGAAGAUGGAUUCUGCUGCAGACAAUACUGAGUUUCUUCUCAGAGCCGUUUAUGCGCCCUGUCCGAAUCAAGAACGACCGAGCUUCUUUGACGCUGUCAGUAGUGUCGCUUGCACGUCUGACUUGCCAUGGGUGAUGCUGGGUGACUUCAACAUGUACAGAUUUGCUCAUGAGAAAUCCCGGGGUCAGAUCAACUGGCAUUUGAUGGAAGUGUUUAACUCAUGGAUUCGAAGUCAUGACAUGGAUGACGUUCAGAUUGAUAACAGGCUCUUCACUUGGUCCAACAAGAGGGAUCAGCCUACUCUUGUUCGUCUUGAUCGAGUCCUCAUCAAUGCAGCUUGGAAUCUAAGCUUUCUGCAGUCAACUGCCUCCUGCAUUCCAACCACAACAUCUGAUCAUGCUCCUGUGCUUUUGUCAUUCUCCACAAGCACGCCCCAAAGCAAGUUAUUCCGCAUGGAAAAUCAUUGGCUGCUCUUGGAUGAACCCAGAAACAUCAUCUCUGAAGCUUGGUCUCGAGGAACUCGUGAGAUCUGUUCUGCUGCAUCUUGA
RNAcentral lists this ribosomal RNA (825 nucleotides) under Triticum aestivum (bread wheat). Its description in RNAcentral is "partial small subunit ribosomal RNA". Lineage: Eukaryota; Viridiplantae; Streptophyta; Magnoliopsida; Poales; Poaceae. The record is from RNAcentral.